Molecule: transfer RNA, 81 nt
Filed under: Paragonimus westermani
Lineage: Eukaryota; Metazoa; Platyhelminthes; Trematoda; Plagiorchiida; Troglotrematidae
Description: tRNA-Asn
Rfam family: tRNA
About the family: Transfer RNA (tRNA) molecules are approximately 80 nucleotides in length. Their secondary structure includes four short double-helical elements and three loops (D, anti-codon, and T loops). Further hydrogen bonds mediate the characteristic L-shaped molecular structure. tRNAs have two regions of fundamental functional importance: the anti-codon, which is responsible for specific mRNA codon recognition, and the 3' end, to which the tRNAs corresponding amino acid is attached (by aminoacyl-tRNA synthetases). tRNAs cope with the degeneracy of the genetic code in two manners: having more than one tRNA (with a specific anti-codon) for a particular amino acid; and 'wobble' base-pairing, i.e. permitting non-standard base-pairing at the 3rd anti-codon position.
Source: RNAcentral
GGCUUCGUAGCUCAGCUGGUAGAAAACUUGCCGCGUUGAGGCAUGCCGUGUCUGUCGCUGGUUCGAAUCCAGCCGAAGCCC